This 459-nucleotide ribosomal RNA is filed under the name uncultured bacterium. RNAcentral's name for it is "partial 16S ribosomal RNA". It matches the Rfam family "Bacterial small subunit ribosomal RNA", at positions 338 to 795 of the family's 1533-position model. The record is from RNAcentral.
CCUACGGGAGGCAGCAGUGAGGAAUAUUGGUCAAUGGGCGCGAGCUUGAACCAGCCAAGUCGCGUGAGGGAAGACGGUCCUAUGGAUUGUAAACCUCUUUUGUCGGGGAGCAAAAGACGCCACGCGUAGCGUUCCGAGAGUACCCGAAGAAAAAGCAUCGGCAAACUCCGUGCCAGCAGCCGCGGUAAUACGGAGGAUGCGAGCGUUAUCCGGAUUUAUGGGGGUUAAAGGGGGCGCAGGCGGAAGAUCAAGGCAGCGGUAAAAUUGAGAGGCUCAACCUCUUCGUGCCGUUGAAACUGUUGUUCUUGAGUACUGGAGAGGUAGACGGAAUUCCUCGUGUAGCGGUGAAAUGCGUAGAUAUGAGGAGGAACACCAGUGGCGAAGGCGGUCUGCUGGACAGCAACUGACGCUGAGGCGCGAAAGCGUGGGGAGCAAACAGGAUUAGAUACCCCAGUAGUC